This is a long non-coding RNA of Pyrus x bretschneideri (Chinese white pear), 518 nucleotides long. RefSeq lists it as uncharacterized. The transcript has 3 exons. The record is from RefSeq and is a predicted model, not a curated record. Lineage: Eukaryota; Viridiplantae; Streptophyta; Magnoliopsida; Rosales; Rosaceae.
UCUCUGCCUUUUCUCUUCCGCAUGCCCUCCUUUUACAAAACACUCAGAGAUUCUCGCACGUCCUCUUCUCCUCUGUUGCCUGCCUCUACACCUCUUCCUCCUCCUCCUUUUCUUCUCUCUUCGUUGGUCUCAGUGCCAUAGAUGCCGCCGUCGCCUUCCCUCUCUCUCGCCGUCGUCUUCCCUCAUUCCUUUGACAAUGUUGAGCUCGGUAUAACAUGUGGAAAGUACUUCCGGGUGUCUUGCCUUAGCAUCAUUGAUGCAGGUGAUUUGGAUGUUAUCAAGACGCUGCUUGGUGAUCAGUGAAGGAGAGUAGGAUGAUACCUCUAUGUUUAGUGUAGUGUUUUGUUUUGAGAUUUGCCCUUUGUUUUCUCUGAAUGAAAUUCUCAAUUUUCUUUGACAAUGUUGUGUUGCUAAGUUUCCAAAUGCUUAGAUUCUACUAUAUGUGUAAGGUGAUCUUCGUUGUGACUUGAUGCAUGGCAUUUUGAGAUUCAUUAAAGUUAAUUUUGUUACAUUAGAUA